UGUGUGUGUGUGUGUGUGUGUGUGUGUAUCCAGAUAGCAAAAUGCCUGCAGUCUUCUAGCUAUAGAAUUUAUAGUAAUGGAAGGGGAAUACGGACGUUGAGUUGUGAGCAAAACUGAGAGACAGAAGAUUUCUAUCCUACUCAACUUUUCUUCUUUUUGCGCAUGACCAUUCCUAGCCAAUCGAAAUUUUCAGAUGCCAAUACGUAGUAUCCAAAUAUAAGCGCGAUUUUAUUAUAACUUACAUAAAAUGAUUCAAUAUUGCAUUUUGUGUUGUAAUCAUGACAAUGUUUUAUCACAGAUUUCCAAAAGAUAUGCAAAUAAGAAAAAAAUGAUUAAUUUUGUAUUUGUAGAAUUAGAGUUUUGUAAUUUUGAUGGAAAUUUUGUGAUCAAAACUACCACUUAUUUAUGCUCAAAACAUUUCACGGAAAAAGAUUCUUACAACAAUUAACUUUUUACAGCCACUAAUAGAGUUUUAAAGAGUAAAAGCAUACUAUCUUUAUCAUGUCAAAAAAGAAAAAGUUAUAUAAUUGUAAGAAUCAAACUAAAACAGUAAAAUUAAGAUUGUAGCAAAAUGCUACAAAAGUGAAUAUAUGGUAAAUGUGUGUGAAGAGGAAUCAUGUUCAACAAUAAUAAAUAUAUAUAAAGAGGAACCAUAUUCAACAAUAAUAAAUGUACGUGAGGAGGAACUAUCAUGUUCAACUAGAGUAAAUGUAUGUAAAGAAGAACCAUGUUCAAAAAUAGUAAAUAUAUGUGAGGAGGAACUAUCAUGUUCAAUUGUAAUAGCCGAUAAAAAUAUGGAUGAAUUAAUUCCUAAAGAAGAGUAAAUUGAUCAUGGGUCCGGCAAAAUGAUCUCCCACAUUUUGCACCGCCACUGUCCCCGAACCACUGAAGAGAGGGGGAGCUUAGCGUAGUCGGUUGGUAGCUCGCGCCUUGCCAUUUCAGUUGUCGUCAUGAAUUGGACGGGCGAGCAUCGUGCUUUCAUUAUCAAAACAUUUAUGAAAAGUAAUCUGUGAUUACGACGCAAAGAACUUUUCGUACUCACUUCGCGCUUGGUAGACAUGCUCCAGUUUCAGAUCGCAAAACAAUACUGUUGUGGGUUUCAAAUUUUAGAGCUACAGGUUCAGCUUUAAAAAGAAAAUCAACUGGUAGACCCAGAAGUGUUCGGACCUGAAAAUGUUGCAGCUGUAAGAGAAGCAGUUGAACGAUCUCCUAGCCGUGUAUCGAAAAAAAUGGUCGCCACUUGGACUCUGUAAUUUUCAAAACUCAAUAAAAACAAAUGGCAU
This 1283-nucleotide long non-coding RNA is filed under the name Acromyrmex echinatior (Panamanian leafcutter ant). Its description in RNAcentral is "uncharacterized LOC105143417, transcript variant X1". The record is from RNAcentral. Lineage: Eukaryota; Metazoa; Arthropoda; Insecta; Hymenoptera; Formicidae.